GGGCGCAUAGCUCAGUUGGUAGAGCAUCUGCCUUACAAGCAGGUGGUCAUAGGUUCGAGUCCUAUUGCGCCCACCA
RNAcentral lists this transfer RNA (76 nucleotides) under Clostridiales bacterium. RNAcentral's name for it is "tRNA-Val". It matches the Rfam family "tRNA". Rfam says of the family: Transfer RNA (tRNA) molecules are approximately 80 nucleotides in length. Their secondary structure includes four short double-helical elements and three loops (D, anti-codon, and T loops). Lineage: Bacteria; Bacillati; Bacillota; Clostridia; Eubacteriales. The record is from RNAcentral.